GGGUCGCACUGCUAACGACAAUCCUACGAGCCCGCCGCGUGGAUAUAAGGCCACAGGUUGUAAGUCCUUUUCUGGGGAAGAAUCACUGUGGGAGGGAAUGCCCGCCUGAUUCCUGAACCGCCGAAUGAACCCCCGCCAACUUCCUGGCCGCCGCCCCCGGUAAUAAUAAA
This 170-nucleotide ribosomal RNA is filed under the name uncultured bacterium. RNAcentral's name for it is "partial 16S ribosomal RNA". The record is from RNAcentral.